Molecule: long non-coding RNA, 557 nt
Organism: Corythoichthys intestinalis (scribbled pipefish)
Lineage: Eukaryota; Metazoa; Chordata; Actinopteri; Syngnathiformes; Syngnathidae
Exons: 4
Source: RefSeq, a predicted model, not a curated record
UCUUAAAACAGUCAGAAGGACUCUGCUGCUGAGGAAACGGGCUCUGAGCACUGCAAUUGCGGGAAACAACAUGAAGGAUCCUGUUGGGGAAGCCCUUUCUGCAGAUUCGGAUCCCUUCCAGAACGCCAUUACAGCGCAGCUGGUGCAUCACCAAAGGGUUCUCCAUGGCACCAGGAGUCUUGGUCUCAUUGGGGAUGAUGCAGCGUACAAAGUGGGGUCUGUGAACCUCUGAAUGGGCUCAAGAUGUGUCCAGGGAAAUGCAGAAAGGAGAAAGCAACAUGAGACAAAUCUACUGAUUUCAUUCAAUGCACCUGUUAUUUUCACUGUGGCUAUUCUUCUCUGCAAUAUGGCGAAAUCAAUGAUCCUAAAAAGAACAAUUUCACCACUGAUUGACAGGUUAGUAGUUCCAGUUUAUUAACUAGGAUAAGCCAUACGGCAAAUGGAUGGGCGAAUGAAUGAAUGAAUGAUUCAUCCAGCACACCUCAAUGUGUUUUAAGCAUAUCAAGUUAGCAAGUGCCCUCUGCUGUUUGAAUUUUGCAAAAUCACCUGAUUGAGCU